AUUAAGCUGACGGGUCUGAAAUAAGACGAAACGCGGGUCCUGAAU
RNAcentral lists this non-coding RNA (45 nucleotides) under Schistosoma mansoni. The record is from RNAcentral. Lineage: Eukaryota; Metazoa; Platyhelminthes; Trematoda; Strigeidida; Schistosomatidae.